CCUGCGGAGGGAUCAUUACAGAGUUGCAAAACUCCCUAAACCAUUGUGAACGUUACCUUCAAACCGUUGCUUCGGCGGGCGGCCCGGGUCCGCCCGGUGCCCCCUGGCCCCCUAGCGGGGCGCCCGCCGGAGGAAAACCCAACUCUUGAUUAUUAUGGCCUCUCUGAGUCUUCUGUACUGAAUAAGUCAAAACUUUCAACAACGGAUCUCUUGGUUCUGGCAUCGAUGAAGAACGCAGCGAAAUGCGAUAAGUAAUGUGAAUUGCAGAAUUCAGUGAAUCAUCGAAUCUUUGAACGCACAUUGCGCCCGCCAGUAUUCUGGCGGGCAUGCCUGUUCGAGCGUCAUUUCAACCAUCAAGCCCCGCGCUUGUGUUGGGGACCUGCGGCUGCCGCAGGCCCUGAAAACCAGUGGCGGGCUCGCUGUCACACCGGGCGUAGUAGAUUUUAUCUCGCUCAGGGCGUGCUGCGGGUUCCGGCCGUUAAAAAGCCUUUUUUACCCAAGGUUGACCUCGGAUCAGGUAGGAAUACCCGCUGAACUUAAGCAUAUCAAUAAGCGGAGGA
RNAcentral lists this ribosomal RNA (560 nucleotides) under Pezizomycotina sp. 7R126-2. Its description in RNAcentral is "eukaryotic LSU rRNA". The stretch from base 191 to 344 matches the Rfam family "5.8S ribosomal RNA". Lineage: Eukaryota; Fungi; Ascomycota. The record is from RNAcentral.